This 423-nucleotide ribosomal RNA is filed under the name uncultured Glomeromycotina. RNAcentral describes it as "SSU rRNA". It matches the Rfam family "Eukaryotic small subunit ribosomal RNA", at positions 670 to 1092 of the family's 1831-position model. The record is from RNAcentral. Lineage: Eukaryota; Fungi; Glomeromycota.
CUGGUAUGCACUGGUGCUACUGAUUUCUCCCUUCUGAAGAACUAUCAUGCCAUUCAUUUGGUGUGGUAGGGAAUCAGGACUGUUACUUUGAAAAAAUUAGAGUGUUUAAGGCAGGCUCACGCUUGAAUACAUUAGCAUGGAAUAAUGAAAUAGGACGUUGAUCUUAUUUUGUUGGUUUCUAGGAUUGACGAAAUGAUUAAUAGGGAUAGUUGGGGGCAUUAGUAUUCAAUUGUCAGAGGUGAAAUUCUUGGAUUUAUUGAAGACUAACUACUGCGAAAGCAUUUGCCAAGGAUGUUUUCAUUAAUCAAGAACGAAAGUUAGGGGAUAGAAGACGAUCAGAUACCGUCGUAGUCUUAACCAUAAACUAUGUCGACUAGGGAUCGGAUGAUGUUAAUUUUUUAAUGACUCAUUCGGCGCCUUACG